UGGAGGGCAAGUCUGGUGCCAGCAGCCGCGGUAAUUCCAGCUCCAAUAGCGUAUAUUAAAGUUGUUGCAGUUAAAAAGCUCGUAGUUGAACCUUGGGUCUGGCUGGUCGGUCCGCCUCACCGCGAGUACUGAUCCGGCUGGACCUUUCCUUCUGGGGAACCUCAUGGCCUUCACUGGCUGUGGGGGGAACCAGGACUUUUACUGUGAAAAAAUUAGAGUGUUCAAAGCAGGCCUUUGCUCGAAUACAUUAGCAUGGAAUAAUAGAAUAGGACGUGCGGUUCUAUUUUGUUGGUUUCUAGGACCGCCGUAAUGAUUAAUAGGGAUAGUCGGGGGCGUCAGUAUUCAGCUGUCAGAGGUGAAAUUCUUGGAUUUGCUGAAGACUAACUACUGCGAAAGCAUUCGCCAAGGAUGUUUUCAUUAAUCAGGGAACGAAAGUUAGGGGAUCGAAGACGAUCAGAUACCGUCGUAGUCUUAACCAUAAACUAUGCCGACUAGGGAUCUGACGGGAUUCUAUAAUGACCCGUUCGGCGCCUUACGGGAAAC
RNAcentral lists this ribosomal RNA (543 nucleotides) under uncultured Eurotiomycetes. Its description in RNAcentral is "SSU rRNA". It matches the Rfam family "Eukaryotic small subunit ribosomal RNA", at positions 549 to 1098 of the family's 1831-position model. Lineage: Eukaryota; Fungi; Ascomycota; Eurotiomycetes. The record is from RNAcentral.